This 390-nucleotide long non-coding RNA is filed under the name Manihot esculenta (cassava). RNAcentral describes it as "long non-coding RNA (MESC_LNC012309)". Lineage: Eukaryota; Viridiplantae; Streptophyta; Magnoliopsida; Malpighiales; Euphorbiaceae. The record is from RNAcentral.
GGUUUUGUUUCUAAGGGAGAGCCGAAGCCCGUCUUACCCCUUAAAACGCGUCUACUGUGGUCUCUUGGGGCUUGCCAUUAUAAGGCGUCCCCCCUCCUUACCUCUUUCCGAUGUGGGAUACUUUCAAUCCACCUCAUAGGGCUUCUACCCCCCAUAAGGCCUGAGCGUCCUCGCUCAGCACACCGUACUCAUGAGGCCCAGGCUUUGAUACCAAUUGUAACAUCCUCUGGGCCCACAACAGUAGAUAUUGUCCGCUUUGGGAGAGCCCAUGGCCCAUCUUACCCCUCACGGUUUUGUUUCUAAGGGAGAGCCGAAGCCCGUCUUACCCCUUAAAACGCGUCUACUGUGGUCUCUUGGGGCUUGCCCUUAUAAGGCGUCCCCCCUCCUUAC